AUGCUCAUUUGCCACCAUGUGUUUGGCUGUGCUGGGUGCUUUUUUCCACCAUGUGUUGGCUGUGCUGGGUUCUCAUAUUCCACCAUGUGUUUGGCUGUGCUGGGUGCUUAUUUUCCACCAUGUGUUUGGCUGGGUAGGCUGCUUUUUUCCACCAUGUGUUUGGCUGUGCUGGGUGCUUAUUAUUCACCAUCUAUUUGGCUGUGCUGGGUGCUUUUUUCCACCAUGUGUUUGGCUGUGCUGGGUGCUUUUUUCCACCAUGUGUUUCGCUGUGCUGGGUGCUCAUUUUCGGCCAUGUGUUUGUCUGUGCUGCCUUCUCAUUUUUUACCAUGUGUUUGGCUGAGCUGGGUUCUGGGUCUCCGUUGCUGCACGGGCUUCUCUGUAGCUGCCGUCCGCACUGAUUCUUCACUGUCGUGCGGGCUUCUCACUGUGGUGGGUUCUCUUCUUGCAGAGCACGCAUGGGCUUCAGCAGUUGUGGGUCCCAGGCUCCAGAGCGCAGGCUCAGUUGCUGGGCCGCUCGGGCUUAGUUGCUCUGCAGUAAUGUGGGAUGUUCCUGGAGCAGGGAUGGAACCCGUGCCUCCUGCAUUUGCAGGCCGACUCUUUUACCACCGAGCCACCAGGAAAGUCCCCCCCUCCUUUUUUUUUGGUAUGCAGGAUCUUUUGUUGAGGCAUGCAAACUCUCAUUUGGAUCACGUUUGA
RNAcentral lists this long non-coding RNA (696 nucleotides) under Capra hircus (goat). RNAcentral's name for it is "lncRNA (ENSCHIG00010015084.1)". Lineage: Eukaryota; Metazoa; Chordata; Mammalia; Artiodactyla; Bovidae. The record is from RNAcentral.